Molecule: ribosomal RNA, 253 nt
Filed under: uncultured bacterium
Lineage: Bacteria
Description: partial 16S ribosomal RNA
Rfam family: Bacterial small subunit ribosomal RNA
Source: RNAcentral
UACAGAGGUCUCAAGCGUUGUUCGGAAUCACUGGGCGUAAAGGGUGCGUAGGCCGCACGGUAAGUCAGAGGUGAAAUCCCGGAGCUCAACUUCGGAAUUGCCUCCGAUACUGCCGUGCUUGAGGACUGGAGAGGAGUCUGGAAUUCACAGUGGAGCAGUGAAAUGCGUAGAUAUUGUGAGGAACACUAGUGGCGAAGGCGAGACUCUGGACAGUUCCUGACGCUGAGGCACGAAGGCCAGGGGAGCAAACGGG